CACGUAGGCACCAAGCGUUGUCCGGAUUUAUUGGGCGUAAAGAGCUCGUAGGCGGUUCGGUAAGUCGGGGGUGAAAACUUUGGGCUCAACCCAAAGCGUGCACUCGAUACUGCCGUGACUAGAGUUCGGUAGGGGAGCGGGGAAUUCCUAGUGUAGCGGUGAAAUGCGCAGAUAUUAGGAGGAACACCGGUGGCGAAGGCGCCGCUCUGGGCCGAAACUGACGCUGAGGAGCGAAAGCGUGGGUAGCAAACAGG
RNAcentral lists this ribosomal RNA (254 nucleotides) under uncultured bacterium. RNAcentral describes it as "partial 16S ribosomal RNA". It matches the Rfam family "Bacterial small subunit ribosomal RNA", at positions 524 to 776 of the family's 1533-position model. The record is from RNAcentral.